ACGCUGGCGGCAGGCCUAACACAUGCAAGUCGAGCGGUAGAGAGAAGCUUGCUUCUCUUGAGAGCGGCGGACGGGUGAGUAAUGCCUAGGAAUCUGCCUGGUAGUGGGGGAUAACGUCCGGAAACGGACGCUAAUACCGCAUACGUCCUACGGGAGAAAGCAGGGGACCUUCGGGCCUUGCGCUAUCAGAUGAGCCUAGGUCGGAUUAGCUAGUUGGUGGGGUAAUGGCUCACCAAGGCGACGAUCCGUAACUGGUCUGAGAGGAUGAUCAGUCACACUGGAACUGAGACACGGUCCAGACUCCUACGGGAGGCAGCAGUGGGGAAUAUUGGACAAUGGGCGAAAGCCUGAUCCAGCCAUGCCGCGUGUGUGAAGAAGGUCUUCGGAUUGUAAAGCACUUUAAGUUGGGAGGAAGGGCAGUAAAUUAAUACUUUGCUGUUUUGACGUUACCGACAGAAUAAGCACCGGCUAACUCUGUGCCAGCAGCCGCGGUAAUACAGAGGGUGCAAGCGUUAAUCGGAAUUACUGGGCGUAAAGCGCGCGUAGGUGGUUCGUUAAAUUGGAUGUGAAAUCCCCGGGCUCAACCUGGGAACUGCAUUCAAAACUGACGAGCUAGAGUAUGGUAGAGGGUGGUGGAAUUUCCUGUGUAGCGGUGAAAUGCGUAGAUAUAGGAAGGAACACCAGUGGCGAAGGCGACCACC
Molecule: ribosomal RNA, 701 nt
Filed under: uncultured bacterium
Lineage: Bacteria
Description: bacterial SSU rRNA
Rfam family: Bacterial small subunit ribosomal RNA
Source: RNAcentral